UUGGUUAUCGCUUACAGAUGGGCCUGCGGCUCAUUAGCUAGUUGGUAGGGUAACGGCUUACCAAGGCAACGAUGGGUAGCCGGCCUGAGAGGGUGGUCGGCCACACUGGGACUGAGAUACGGCCCAGACUCCUACGGGAGGCAGCAGUAAGGAAUAUUGCGCAAUGGUCGCAAGACUGACGCAGCAACGCCGCGUGGAUGAUGAAGCUCUAUGGAGUGUAAAGUCCUGUUAGAAGGGAAGAACAGUACGGAGUCAAAGCUUCGUGCAUGACGGUACCUUCAGAGAAAGCCCCGGCUAACUCCGUGCCAGCAGCCGCGGUAAUACGGGGGGGGCAAGCGUUGUCCGGAAUUACUGGGUGUAAAGGGCGCGUAGGUGGAAUUGUAAGUUAGAGGUGAAAGCCAGCAGCUUAACUGCUGGUCUGCCUUUAAUACUGCAGUUCUUGAGUGCGAAAGAGGGAAGCGGAAUUCUUGGUGUAGCGGUGAAAUGCGUAGAUAUCAAGAAGAACACCGGUAGCGUAGGCGGCUUCCUGGUUCGUAACUGACACUGAGGCGCGAAAGUGUGGGGAGCAAACAGGAUUAGAUACCCUGGUAGUCCACACCGUAAACGAUGGAUACUAGGUGUUGGGUUUCACGACUCAGUGCCGAAGUUAACGCAUUAAGUAUCCCGCCUGGGGAGUACGAUCGCAAGGUUGAAACUCAAAGGAAUUGACGGGGGCCCGCACAAGCGGUGGAGCAUGUGGUUUAAUUCGAUGCAACGCGAAGAACCUUACCGGGGUUUGAAAUGCAGUUGCUCUCCGUUGAAAGACGGAUUUCCUUCGGGACAACUGUACAGGUGCUGCAUGGCUGUCGUCAGCUCGUGCCGUGAGGUGUUGGGUUAAGUCCCGCAACGAGCGCAACCCUUGUCCUUAGUUGCUAUCAGGUCAAGCUGAGAACUCUAAGGAGACUGCCUCGGAUAACGAGGAGGCAGGUGGGGAUGACGUCAAGUCCUCAUGGCCCUUACAUCCCGGGCUACACACGUGCUACAAUGGCCAGUACAACGGGAAGCGAUACCGUGAGGUGGAGCAAAUCCCU
Molecule: ribosomal RNA, 1070 nt
Filed under: uncultured organism
Description: bacterial SSU rRNA
Rfam family: Bacterial small subunit ribosomal RNA
Source: RNAcentral